Molecule: long non-coding RNA, 334 nt
Filed under: Capsicum annuum
Lineage: Eukaryota; Viridiplantae; Streptophyta; Magnoliopsida; Solanales; Solanaceae
Description: long non-coding RNA (CANN_LNC001141)
Source: RNAcentral
CGCUAUACAAACUUAACAACUCACUCUGACUAUGAUUAACAACAAUCUCAACAACCAUUUCCAUCUAUCAACACCCCAAACAUACUAGUCCACCAAAAUCUCAUAACGACAAUAAUCAUCCACAAUUCCAUGGCCUAUGCCAUAAUAAUUUAUUAACACCACCUUCCAUAACGUUUCCAAUCCCCCAGUUCUAACCAAUUCAAGAACAACAGAGUAAACAGCCAGCUGCUAGUGAAUCGAAAUAGGCCUCACAUAGCUUCACUAGACUUUGAUUUUGUAUUUUAGAAAAAGAAAUAAAUAUCAAAACAAUUAUGCUAGUGAAUCUAAAUAAGCC